This 1441-nucleotide ribosomal RNA is filed under the name Staphylococcus hominis. RNAcentral's name for it is "bacterial SSU rRNA". It matches the Rfam family "Bacterial small subunit ribosomal RNA". The record is from RNAcentral. Lineage: Bacteria; Bacillati; Bacillota; Bacilli; Caryophanales; Staphylococcaceae.
GUGCGGCGUGCUAUACAUGCAGUCGAGCGAACAGACGAGGAGCUUGCUCCUUUGACGUUAGCGGCGGACGGGUGAGUAACACGUGGGUAACCUACCUAUAAGACUGGGAUAACUUCGGGAAACCGGAGCUAAUACCGGAUAAUAUUUCGAACCGCAUGGUUCGAUAGUGAAAGAUGGCUUUGCUAUCACUUAUAGAUGGACCUGCGCCGUAUUAGCUAGUUGGUAAGGUAACGGCUUACCAAGGCAACGAUACGUAGCCGACCUGAGAGGGUGAUCGGCCACACUGGAACUGAGACACGGUCCAGACUCCUACGGGAGGCAGCAGUAGGGAAUCUUCCGCAAUGGGCGAAAGCCUGACGGAGCAACGCCGCGUGAGUGAUGAAGGUCUUCGGAUCGUAAAACUCUGUUAUUAGGGAAGAACAAACGUGUAAGUAACUGUGCACGUCUUGACGGUACCUAAUCAGAAAGCCACGGCUAACUACGUGCCAGCAGCCGCGGUAAUACGUAGGUGGCAAGCGUUAUCCGGAAUUAUUGGGCGUAAAGCGCGCGUAGGCGGUUUUUUAAGUCUGAUGUGAAAGCCCACGGCUCAACCGUGGAGGGUCAUUGGAAACUGGAAAACUUGAGUGCAGAAGAGGAAAGUGGAAUUCCAUGUGUAGCGGUGAAAUGCGCAGAGAUAUGGAGGAACACCAGUGGCGAAGGCGACUUUCUGGUCUGUAACUGACGCUGAUGUGCGAAAGCGUGGGGAUCAAACAGGAUUAGAUACCCUGGUAGUCCACGCCGUAAACGAUGAGUGCUAAGUGUUAGGGGGUUUCCGCCCCUUAGUGCUGCAGCUAACGCAUUAAGCACUCCGCCUGGGGAGUACGACCGCAAGGUUGAAACUCAAAGGAAUUGACGGGGACCCGCACAAGCGGUGGAGCAUGUGGUUUAAUUCGAAGCAACGCGAAGAACCUUACCAAAUCUUGACAUCCUUUGACCCUUCUAGAGAUAGAAGUUUCCCCUUCGGGGGACAAAGUGACAGGUGGUGCAUGGUUGUCGUCAGCUCGUGUCGUGAGAUGUUGGGUUAAGUCCCGCAACGAGCGCAACCCUUAAGCUUAGUUGCCAUCAUUAAGUUGGGCACUCUAAGUUGACUGCCGGUGACAAACCGGAGGAAGGUGGGGAUGACGUCAAAUCAUCAUGCCCCUUAUGAUUUGGGCUACACACGUGCUACAAUGGACAAUACAAAGGGCAGCGAAACCGCGAGGUCAAGCAAAUCCCAUAAAGUUGUUCUCAGUUCGGAUUGUAGUCUGCAACUCGACUACAUGAAGCUGGAAUCGCUAGUAAUCGUAGAUCAGCAUGCUACGGUGAAUACGUUCCCGGGUCUUGUACACACCGCCCGUCACACCACGAGAGUUUGUAACACCCGAAGCCGGUGGAGUAACCAUUGGAGCUAGCCGUCGAAGUG